UACGUAGGGUGCGAGCGUUGUCCGGAAUUAUUGGGCGUAAAGAGCUCGUAGGCGGCCUGUCGCGUCGGUUGUGAAAGCCCGGGGCUUAACCCCGGGUCUGCAGUCGAUACGGGCAGGCUAGAGUUCAGUAGGGGAGAUCGGAAUUCCUGGUGUAGCGGUGAAAUGCGCAGAUAUCAGGAGGAACACCGGUGGCGAAGGCGGAUCUCUGGGCCGAUACUGACGCUGAGGAGCGAAAGCGUGGGGAGCGAACAGG
Molecule: ribosomal RNA, 253 nt
Filed under: uncultured bacterium
Lineage: Bacteria
Description: partial 16S ribosomal RNA
Rfam family: Bacterial small subunit ribosomal RNA
Source: RNAcentral